Molecule: ribosomal RNA, 468 nt
Filed under: uncultured bacterium
Lineage: Bacteria
Description: partial 16S ribosomal RNA
Rfam family: Bacterial small subunit ribosomal RNA
Source: RNAcentral
GACGAACGCUGGCGGCGUGCUUAACACAUGCAAGUCGAACGGAAAGGCCCUGCUUUUGUGGGGUGCUCGAGUGGCGAACGGGUGAGUAACACGUGAGUAACCUGCCCUUGACUUUGGGAUAACUUCAGGAAACUGGGGCUCAUACCGGAUAGGAGCUCCUGCUGCAUGGUGGGGGUUGGAAAGUUUCGGCGGUUGGGGAUGGACUCGCGGCUUAUCAGCUUGUUGGUGGGGUAGUGACUUACCAAGCCUUUGACGGGUAGCCGGCCUGAGAGGGUGACCGGGCACAAUGGGACUGCGAUACGGCCCAGACUCCUACGGGACGCAGCAGGGGGGAAUAUUGCACAACGGGCGGAAGCCUGAGGCAGCAACGCCGCGUGCGGGAUGCCCGCCUUCGGGUGGUAAACCUCUUUCGCCUUUGACGAAGCGUGAUUGACGGUAAUGGGUAAAAAAGCACCGGCUAACUACGUG